This 345-nucleotide unclassified non-coding RNA is filed under the name soil metagenome. RNAcentral's name for it is "partial contains 5.8S ribosomal RNA, internal transcribed spacer 2, and large subunit ribosomal RNA". The stretch from base 1 to 120 matches the Rfam family "5.8S ribosomal RNA", at positions 35 to 154 of the family's 154-position model. The record is from RNAcentral.
GAUGAAGAACGUAGCGAAAUGCGAUAAGUAAUGUGAAUUGCAGAAUUCAGUGAAUCAUCGAGUCUUUGAACGCACAUUGCGCCCCCUGGUAUUCCGGGGGGCAUGCCUGUCCGAGCGUCAUUGCUGCCCUCAAGCACGGCUUGUGUGUUGGGCCCCGUCCUCCGAUCCCGGGGGACGGGCCCGAAAGGCAGCGGCGGCACCGCGUCCGGUCCUCGAGCGCAUGGGGCUUUGUCACCCGCUCUGUAGGCCCGGCCGGCGCUUGCCGAUCAACCCAAAUUUUUAUCCAGGUUGACCUCCGAUCAGGUAGGGAUACCCGCUGAACUUAAGCAUAUCAAUAACGGAGGA